Molecule: long non-coding RNA, 604 nt
Filed under: Rattus norvegicus (Norway rat)
Lineage: Eukaryota; Metazoa; Chordata; Mammalia; Rodentia; Muridae
Description: long non-coding RNA NONRATT014979
Source: RNAcentral
AACCCCUCCUCUCAGUUAAAGGCUCUACUGCAGCUGUGCCGCUGCUCCUUCCAGGAUGGCUGCCCUCGCUGUAAACAAGCCCGGAGCAGGAGUAGACAGUGGGCGGCAGGGCAGCCGGGGGACGGCUGUGGUGAAGGUUCUGGAGUGUGGUGUUUGUGAAGAUGUCUUCUCUCUGCAAGGAGAUAAAGUUCCUCGCCUUCUCCUUUGUGGCCACACAGUCUGUCAUGACUGUCUCACACGCUUGCCUCUGCAUGGAAGAGCAAUACGUUGCCCAUUUGAUCGACAAGUGACAGACCUAGGAGAUUCAGGUGUCUGGGGUUUGAAAAAAAAUUUUGCUUUACUGGAGCUUUUAGAACGUUUGCAAAAUGGACAUAUUGGUCAGUAUGGAGCUGCAGAAGAAGCCCUUGGGAUAUCUGGAGAGGUACUCAUGGACCUUGUUGAAAUAUUUACUUCAAGAUGCUUUUGUAAUCCUAAAAUGUUUUCCAAUAUUUGUACAAUAUUACCUUAUUUGCUGUAUCUGUGAGAAUUUAGGAACACAAGUUUUUAUGACAUUACAAUUCUAAAGUAGCUACUGUUCUCAAAAAUAAAACAAUUAAAUUUGUUG